Molecule: transfer RNA, 70 nt
Filed under: Pygathrix nigripes (Black-shanked douc langur)
Lineage: Eukaryota; Metazoa; Chordata; Mammalia; Primates; Cercopithecidae
Description: tRNA-Ile
Source: RNAcentral
AGAAAUAUGUCUGACAAAAGAAUUACUUUGAUAGAGUAAACAAUAGAGGUAAUCAACCCUCUUAUUUCUA